AUUGCAGUUUGUCGCACAUUCUAAAUGGGAAAAGUUUGGCCAUUGCAGCAGCUCAUGUGUGGAGGCACCUCUGGAGAACACCAGGUCCAAACCCCAGCCCAAAGCAGCGCCUCCUGGAACUACACAGGGCCAUGGCUGAGUGAGAUCACAAUGGUGGCUGAGAAAUCUUUGUUGCUCCCUUUUCUCCCAUCAGCAACACUCAUAUCCAGGCUGAAUAAAUCCUUCAACAGCAUUCUUUGCUUGUGGCCGUUUGAUGUGCUUCCAAGCAGCUACAAACAUGGGAGACACCCAAACUGCUUAGUGCCAGAAAGGCUGAAACUGCACUGCCAUGGGAGCCUGAACGGCAGAGGGGCCACCUGGCAGUGCCCUGCAGGACCCAAGGAACCACUUUUUGAAAGUCAGAAGAUGCAAAGCAGACCUUCCACAAGGAUUCCCCAAGGAGCAGAGAAUUUGAGGAUCACUGCGAAGGGCAUCAUUGCUCCUUGCUGUUCAUCCCAAACUGUCUUCAUUCUCUCACCCUGUGUAUUCCUGCACAACGGGACUGAGGGAAGUGCAUGAGAUCUAUUGCUGAACUGUGGUGUGGAUAGACUUUGUCUUCCUCAGCUAGCAUUCUGUCACCUUUCAAGAGUGAAAAAUUCAUUUUUAAAACAAAAAUCCCAAGUAAGAAACCUCACAUAGUUGCAGGAAACCACCACAGAGGUAUACAAUAUCCAGCGGAAGACCUUGCUGAAAACUGAACAGAUUACUCUUGUUAUAUGUGGUUAAACUGGGCCAUUAAUGCUAAAACAGUUCAAAGCACAAAAUAAAUUCUGAUUUUCUCCUGUCAAAGUUGGUGGUUUGGUGUUCACACAUUCUAGGCUCCGGUUAAAUGAUUUACUGUACAAUUUAAUGCCUUUCAGCUGUCACUCGCAAAAAGGAUCCCUUGAAUGAUCUGCCAGUGAAUGAAGGCAGCACUUGCCCAGGGUGAAGUGUGGCCAGGGCUGCAGGACCCAACUUGCCAAGAUACUCAGGAACAAUCACGUAAGCCACUGUGACCCAUGUGUGGUACCCAGCGAAGUGAAGGCCACCUUGCUGUGAUCACAUCUGCAAAACCACUUCAUUUAAAGCAUACUGAGACGUUCACUCUGCUGUGGAACUUUUACGAGCAACUGCCUUUACAACAGCUCGCACCAUAGGCACGCUGCUAUUCUUUGUCCUUCUUUUGAACUCUUCUCUGCUCCCGGUCUUCCAGCGGUGUGAUUUUUUGAAGUUUUCCUUCACAAUAGCUUCUCAAAAUCCCAGUUCUCACAUAUCAACACAAAUAGGAGAAACAGUUGCCAUGGGACAGUGAAAAACAUAUUUCAGGAGCUCAGGAGCAAAGAAGGAAAUAAAAAAGGCACUGGAUUUCAGCAGUUACGUGUUGUAGUGUUUGACGUAGCUCUGAGUUCUUUGCUUUGUCUCUAGCUGCAGUGGUACUGUGCCUCUCAUGUUCAGCAGUGGGUGCACUCAGCAGUGGGUGCAGCUCUUAGCAGUGACCUCAUGGGGACACAGCAGUGCCCAGCACUGCAGCCAUGUUCUGUGGAACAGAGAGAAUACUGGUGUCACCUAAAACU
This is a long non-coding RNA of Gallus gallus (chicken), 1592 nucleotides long. The record is from Ensembl. NCBI's taxonomy places the organism in Eukaryota, Metazoa, Chordata, Aves, Galliformes, Phasianidae.